UUCACAUUUUCUGUAUUUAUUUAUGCUUUGGGCUUAAAAGGGUCAGUGGCCUAAUUUAACAUUCGAUUUUUGUUUUUACACAGCAAAGACUUAUUGCAGGAAUACUGUAUGUUUGGCUCAAAGCUAGGUCCUGGAAACAAUCUGAAAAAAAUCCUCUACAUCCUGAGAUGUCUGCUGUCUAAAUCUUGGGGCUUGCAGAGUGGGUUCACUCUUCCGCUCUUCUGCCAUGUGAGGAUGCAGUAAGAUGACCCUCAGCAGAUGCUGGUGCCUUGAUCUUGGACUUCCCAGUCUCCAGAACUGGGAUGAAAUGCUGUGAUGGGUUGCACGCCCACAUCACCACUCUGCUGUCGGGAGAAGAGGAAGGCACGUUCCUCCCAAACACAGGGACUGAAAGCAGUUCUGAAGGCUGAAGUCCAAGACCAGGGUGGCAGCAUGGUCAGGUCCUGGCGAGGGCCAUUUUCCGAGUCUUUGCAGGUGCUUUAAAGUUAAGGAUCUCAAGAUGAGACCAUUCUGGAAUAUCCAGGUGGAUCCUAAAUCCAAUGACAAGUGUCCCUGUAAGAGACUGAAGAGGAGAGGACACGCUUCUCUGCCUCCGUGGGAGAAGAGGAGAAGGCCCGGCAAAGACGGAGGCAGAGGUUGGAACUCUGCAGUCACAAGCCAGGGAACAUGGAAGCCACCAGGAGCUGGAAGAGUCAAGGAAGUGUCCUCCCCUGAAGCCUCUAGAGGGAGCGAAGCCCUGUAGACAUUGGCUCAUUUUUGGUAUUUUCUUUCUUUCUUUUUUUUUUUUUUUUUGGUAAAGAUGGGGCUUCACCAGGCUGGUCUCGAACUCCUGAUUUCUGACUUCCAGUUCCCAAACCUGUGGGAGAACACAUUUAUGUUGUCUCUAGCCACCAAGUGCAUGGAAUUUGUUAUGACAGUUACAGGGAAGUAACACGGGAAUUUUAUUUUAAACCCUACAUUUGGCAAAAAAAAAAAAAAAAAAAAAUGG
RNAcentral lists this long non-coding RNA (988 nucleotides) under Homo sapiens (human). RNAcentral describes it as "HSALNT0397215". The record is from RNAcentral. Lineage: Eukaryota; Metazoa; Chordata; Mammalia; Primates; Hominidae.